CUGAAACCCGUGCUCGUCAUCAGGGCAAUCGUUAAUCAAGAUACCCUGCGAGGUUCACUGACUUCCCAAACGCUCUGCAGGGCGACCAGCUCAGCAGCAGAGGAUCCGAAGAGCGUUUUUUGGAGUGCCCAUAAUGUCUUUCACCAGCCAGGAGUGCACCACAGGGAGAGGACGUUGGCCUCUCUCAAAUCCUCAGGUAUAUUAAGUAGAAGAUAUGGCAUAGAAGUGAGUGACCCAGGGUCAGUUGCCACUCAAUGCCCAGAAGAGCCAGUAUGAUGGGAAUCAGCACAUUCACCUAAUAUGCUAACUACAUUCCAGCCCUUCCAGAACACAAGAAUCUCCAAUCCUGAGUCUUCUGUGAAAAAGGUGGGAAAGAAAAACAUCUAAGAUGUACAAUUCUCCAGUUAUUAAUGCAUUCAAGCAACAUUCCCAGUUCUGUGCAGACAAGCGUCAAGAAAAGCCAGUGAAGGAAAGGAACUAAGAGGAGAAUCAGGAAUCAAUGCAGAAUUUCCAAUUUCUGUGAAAAAUGACAAUUUCCCUUUACGCAAGAA
Molecule: long non-coding RNA, 551 nt
Organism: Lagopus muta (rock ptarmigan)
Lineage: Eukaryota; Metazoa; Chordata; Aves; Galliformes; Phasianidae
Exons: 4
Source: RefSeq, a predicted model, not a curated record